Molecule: ribosomal RNA, 253 nt
Filed under: uncultured bacterium
Lineage: Bacteria
Description: partial 16S ribosomal RNA
Rfam family: Bacterial small subunit ribosomal RNA
Source: RNAcentral
UACGUAGGGGGCUAGCGUUGUCCGGAAUCACUGGGCGUAAAGGGCGCGUAGGCGGCCAUUCAAGUCGGAGGUGAAAGCCCAGGGCUCAACCCUGGAAUUGCCUUCGAUACUGUCUGGCUAGAGUCCGGAAGAGGUAAGUGGAACUGCGAGUGUAGAGGUGAAAUUCGUAGAUAUUCGCAAGAACACCAGUGGCGAAGGCGGCUUACUGGUCCGGUUCUGACGCUGAGGCGCGAAAGCGUGGGGAGCAAACAGG